UGAAUUCAGAAAUCCUCCCAUCAUUUGUAGAGGCGAUAAUGUUCAGAACCUCGGAUAGCAAUGCAAUCAAACUCAUCGGAAUGUCUGUAACCUGAAUUUUCCUGCAUAAGCAUAGGAGGAAACCAAACAAUGAGACUCUUCUUCAGAAUGCAUCAUGAGUGUAAAUAGUACUUGUAACUAACUGAAAGAGAAGGCAGCCUAACCCCUAACCUGCUUGUGAAGUCACUUUCGUUUUGCAGCAAAGCAACAUACUACACUGUGAACUCGAUUCAUAACUGAAAGGCUUGACACAAGAAUAGUUGACUGACGUAGCUGGCAAGAAGAAACACUAACCUGCAUCCAAAACGUACUUCCAUUUGGCAGAGUAAAGCAACACAACUUGCAAAAUGAGUUCAAUUUUCAUCUGUCAGAUCAAGAAUGGUGAGGUCAGGCACUAAGAAGAAAUCAUCAGAUCGAUGUGAAGAAUCGACACAGAUUGAACGGUGCUGUCCUGAACCAGACACCCAUACACGCUGAAACUUCUACCUGACUGGCAAAAUCAGUGGUGCUGCCGGUAGCCGUCCUUUUGGAAGGGAGCACGCACAGGGGCACCUGCAGCCUGCAGGACAACCACAUAAGAAGCAAUGUUAGGCAAAGGAGAAUCGAAUCGAACAUAAAGAGCACAUAUCGGAAAACCCAGAAAAUUGAAAGGCUAGCCGAAGCAUCGCAAGGAAGAACCUGCAGUAACUAGUAGAAAUACUCGUGCUUUGCUACAAGUUCUUACUUGCUCUCACGUUAUUAUUUGUUUGUUCCUAAUAUGUUGGCUUCGCUUCAUAAUAUGUUGGUGCGUUGUCCAUAAUAGUCCUCUCUUUGCAAGUACAGUAGUAGAAGACAUUCGUGGGUGGUAUGAUACCAUCUGUUUAUUACGUGGGACCCACACAUGGAACUCGUGCGUUCCGACGGAAGCGGGGGCGGGCACAACUCUGCGUGGCGUACCGCCGUUUGGAGUCCCAUUGCCGCGGUAAAAGUCGACCUACGAUGGGAGUGGCGUCAAGAUGUAUGUCGACGAUGACCGCGCAACCGUUGUUGGGUUCGUGAAUAGAAACAAAACUAAGGAUGGGAAUGAUUAAGUUUGAAGGCUGCAUUUUUUUAAUACAAAUUUUUGCAUACGAUCUCGGAUGAUUACAAAUUUUAUAUCAAAAUUGUAGAGCUCGAUGAGAUUUUAAACUUUGUAGUUGACAACUUUUUCCUUUGAGAUAGUUUAGUAGUCCAAAAAUAUGUUAUAACUUCAGAGAAGAAACACAUUUGUCACGUCAUCGAUCCACAACUCCGAAACCGAGCAUUCCUAUUGGUCGAACUCUCCUCCCACCUUUCCCUCUCAACCAGCCAACCUUAUCUCCUCCCCCCUCUCUCUUCUCUCCCACAUCUCUCUCCCGACCCUAUCUCCUCUCUCUCUUCUCUCCCACCUCUCUGGCGCGCCCCCGCGGAGGAGUCCUGGCGGCCGGCGCAGCCACCUCGGCCUGACCCCGGCGGCGGAGGCAGCAGGCACGGCGGAGGCGACCGACGUGGUCACCAACGGCGCGGGUGGCUGGCCGGCUCUAGCUCCACGGCGGCGACAGACGGCGCAGCCCAGGCGAGGUCGGCUGGCGCGGCGGCUCGACCCCGGCGCGAGCGCCUCCACCUCCACAAUUGCAGUAAAGUUUGGGGAUCUUUUUGCAAAAUCGUCAAGACAUAUUACAAGGACUACGGGUUGAUUACGAAAGUUGAGGGACUUUUUUUAUUACGAAAGUUGAGGGACUUUUUUUUUUCAAAAAGAUCACGAUGGUUGGAAGAAAUAUUAGGGGGUGUUUGGAUACACCCCCGUAAAUUUUAGUACCCGUCACAUCGGAUGUUUGGAUACUAAUUAGGAGUAUUAAAUAUAGUCUAAUUAUAAAACUAAUUACACAGAUGGAGUCUAAUUCGUGAGACGAAUCUAUUAAGCCUAAUUAGUCCAUGAUUUGACAAUGUGGUGCUACAGUAACCAUUUGCUAAUGAUGGAUUAAUUAGGCUUAAUAGAUUCGUCUCGCGAAUUAGUAUGGGGGUUCUGCAGUUAGUUUUAUAAUUAGCUCAUGUUUAGUUCUCCUAAUUAGCAUCCGAACAUCCGAUGUGACCCCUCCUAAAGUUUAGUACCCCGAUCCAAACACCCCCUAGGUAUAGAUAGAACGGGGUAAUCUUUUACCUGAAGAUUAUCGGCAUCGUGUUCCCCGCCGGCGACGAAAUUGCCAUCUCACCGUGGCCACUUUACUGAUGGACGUUGGUCACUUCGUCAGCAGGAGGGGACCAUGGAUGAAGACGCCAGAGCAAUCAGAGUUGAUAGCUUACGGAGAGGAGUACAGGAGGAAGGCAGUGGUCGAGGAAGACACCUGAAGUACUGGCUUGCAGCAGGGUAGCGAUGGCGUGUAGGGUGUAGGUGGCCGGCCAUCGGCCUGAGGUCACACGCCGUUGGGCGGAUAGUGGUGGCAAUGGCGACGGCCAUGGCGGCAGCGGCGACAGACCGAGGAGUGGCCAUGGCGGCACUGAGGCAUCGAAUGGGCCCAUCCGGCCAUGGGGGCAGCGACGGCUCGAGGCGUGGCCACGACAACGUUGAGGCAUGGGAUGGGCCCAGCCAGCCAUGGGGGUGGGGACGACUUGCGGGACAAGCAGCAUCAAACAGGGGGAAGCGGAGGAGGGAGAGAUUGGGCUGCGGCGGAGAACGGAGGAGGAGGCGGCGGAGGACGGAGCGACGGGCGGUUCGAUUUCUUCAAGAGGCAAGGAUGAAGCCCAUGACCGGCGGCAGCUGUUCCCCACCGCGUGAAGCGCACGCAGUAAGAAGGGCGGCUGGACACACGGCGUCAGGCGACAAACGGGAGCGACGUCGAGGCUCCGGAGGGCAGCG
RNAcentral lists this long non-coding RNA (2893 nucleotides) under Setaria viridis. RNAcentral's name for it is "long non-coding RNA (SVIR_LNC008433)". Lineage: Eukaryota; Viridiplantae; Streptophyta; Magnoliopsida; Poales; Poaceae. The record is from RNAcentral.